This 429-nucleotide ribosomal RNA is filed under the name Chloroflexota bacterium. RNAcentral describes it as "Chloroflexi bacterium partial 16S ribosomal RNA". It matches the Rfam family "Bacterial small subunit ribosomal RNA", at positions 355 to 776 of the family's 1533-position model. The record is from RNAcentral. Lineage: Bacteria; Bacillati; Chloroflexota.
UGGGGAAUAUUGCACAAUGGGCGCAAGCCUGAUGCAGCCAUGCCGCGUGUAUGAAGAAGGCCUUCGGGUUGUAAAGUACUUUCAGUCGGGAGGAAGGUGGUAAGGUUAAUAACCUUAUCAAUUGACGUUACCGACAGAAGAAGCACCGGCUAACUCCGUGCCAGCAGCCGCGGUAAUACGGAGGGUGCAAGCGUUAAUCGGAAUUACUGGGCGUAAAGCGCACGCAGGCGGUUGAUUGAGUCAGAUGUGAAAUCCCCGGGCUUAACCCGGGAAUUGCAUCUGAUACUGGUCAGCUAGAGUCUCGUAGAGGGGGGUAGAAUUCCAUGUGUAGCGGUGAAAUGCGUAGAGAUGUGGAGGAAUACCGGUGGCGAAGGCGGCCCCCUGGACAAAGACUGACGCUCAGGUGCGAAAGCGUGGGGAGCAAACAGG